UCUCUUCAGGCGCCUACCGCGGCUGGCAAGUCCCUGCUGGCAGAGCAGCGGAGGUCCCCGAAUCAACUUUCAAUUCCCCCUCUGCUUCUGCCUCACCAUUCUCUUCUCCGUGAAAGAUGGCUGUUUGGAGAAGGGGGCGAAGUUAGGGGGUCCUCGGCGCGGGGCGAAGGAGGGCGCGACAGCCUCGGCGGGAGCGGACGGAGGUUUCCCCUUUCCCAGCCUCUCGUGGACCAGCGUUGCCAGCUGAAGGAAGGUUGUGAAUCUGCAUCCCAGCCCAUUAGUCCUUCUCCUGAUUCCCGUGAUGAGUUCACCAGUGCAGCCUGGUCAGUUUGGUUGUUUCUUAAGCUAUUAACAGAUGUAAUAUGAAAGAUGUUGCUUUGUGUUGCUUCAAACCAAGCAAUUUAACUUAUGAAAGGACUUUUUAUUCUGAUGAGGAUGUGUGGAUACAAUGAAUUUUGAAUUUUGUGUUCUAUAGCUAAUCCUUUGUUAUGUAACCAUCUUGCUUUCCAGGCAAUUAAUUUCAUUUGAAUUAUUAUCUGAGCACUGGGCUUUAGUUCUUCUGCUAAUGUAACAUUUGGAUUGAAUUUUAUGAAGUUAUAAAUAUUUAUUAAAUAUGUUGUAGGCAUCUAAUUCAUAUCCAUAGUCUUUCUGAGUCCGUGUCUGUAUGUUUUAAAUUGUGUCAUAGGCUUUGGAUAUCAGCUUGUGGACUCAUUUUCCUCCUCCUUCUCUUUGACACACAGGAAGGAUAUUUCUCCUCCCUGCCCUUCUUUGCUGCCACUCCUGUUUCCUACAUACAUGUUUAAUUAUAAUCUCAGCACCUGCUUCCUCUGAGUCCAGUGUAAUGUGUGGCUCAUGUAGUGUUGUGAUAAGCACAGCCAACACCCAUUUCUCCAGGAACAGGGUGUCACUUUGGGAACAAACACAAUCCAAGUCUUAAAAAUGAUGGAGUAGUUUCAGAUAUCAUAUGUUAAACAUAGAGAAAUUUAAAAAGAAUUUUCUGUUUGAAUCAUUGUAGGAGUAUUUAUUUCUAUAUAUUCUUUAAAAAAAAAUCUCUCAGCACGUUGGUAUCUUUGAGUUAUCCAACUCCUGAGGUUGAAGCUAAUGUAAUAUUUUAUUCAGAGUUUAUAAAGGGAAAUCUUUUGCCAAGAUUUUCAGUCUGUGGAGUGCCACACCCAGAUCAGCUGCUCUGGAAUUCCAAUGUCUCAUCAACCUUUCCCAGAGCCCCAACAGGCUGCCAGCUUGUAUGUUGAAUUUGGAACUGAAAGGUUUUGGCGCGUACAACUGUAAUUGUUGAUUCUAAAUGAUGUAGUAAAGAUAUUCCAGAAUCUUUCUUCACAAUCAUGAUUUAUAAUUGGCGUUGUCAUCUGAAUAAGCACAUGAAGAGUUACACAGGCCUCUUAUCUCUGAGUCCUUGCAGUGCAGUGUUUCUCCAACUUUAGCAUCACUGGGAGGGCUUGUUAAAAUCAAGCCCCAUUCUCAAAGUUUUUGAUUCAGUAGAUCUUAGGUGGGUCCCAGGAAUUGUGAUACUUAUAAGUUUCCCCCCGGUGAGGCUACUGCUGCCUGAGGACUACACUUUGGAAAGCACUGAUCUAGCUUGCUAGUCCCGUUCCUUCCUCCACCUCUGCUUGCCUCCAUCCUCUCCUCCCUCCACACCCCCACCCUUACAGGCAGCCCUCUGUGCAUUACUUAUCACAAUUAUGGUGUAUUAUUACUGUCCUUUCUAUUGAGUUGGACUUAAAAUGAUGUGUGUGUUUUAUAUAUGCAUAUAUUACAUUUAAAUAUACAUUAUAUAUUGAUUUGUAUAUAACUUUAAUGUUUCAAAAUUACAUAAUUUAAAAGAGGCAUUUAAUUUAGAACUACCAUAGUCAAACAUUUUUUUUUCUUGUGGUAGAAUAUGUUAGAGUCAUUAAAAACAUAUUACAAGCAAUUGGAACAAAUUGGCUAAGUAUGAAUGUGGCAGAAAAUUUCCUCCAUUUCUAAAGUUACUGUCUAAAAUUUAUAUAGGGGAUUGUCUUUAAUUGUAAAGGACAGAAACUAGACUUUUAUAAAAUUGUCCUUGUCCCUUUAUUCUCUGCCUUCCUCCCCCAUAUCCUGUCCACAUUGUUUACCUCCCAGUUUUACUUCACAGAAGAGUGGCAGGGCAGAUUGAACCAUGGGAAAAUGGAAUUUUUGACAGUGACAGCAACUGUAUCCAAGUGAAACAUUUGAAAUGGCAUUUCUAUGUAAUCAUUAAAUGGGUAAAAAGUGCAGAUACCCUUGAUGG
RNAcentral lists this long non-coding RNA (2263 nucleotides) under Sus scrofa (pig). RNAcentral's name for it is "lncRNA (ENSSSCG00065068788.1)". Lineage: Eukaryota; Metazoa; Chordata; Mammalia; Artiodactyla; Suidae. The record is from RNAcentral.